UACGUAGGGAGCAAGCGUUGUCCGGAAUGACUGGGCGUAAAGGGAGUGUAGGCGGCCUUGCAAGUUAGAUGUGAAAUCCUACGGCUUAACCGUAGAACUGCAUCUAAAACUGUGAGGCUGGAGUGCAGGAGAGGUGAGUGGAAUUCCUAGUGUAGCGGUGGAAUGCGUAGAUAUUAGGAGGAACAUCAGUGGCGAAGGCGACUUUCUGGACUGUAACUGACGCUGAGGCACGAAAGUGUGGGGAGCAAACAGG
Molecule: ribosomal RNA, 253 nt
Filed under: uncultured Eubacteriales bacterium
Lineage: Bacteria; Bacillati; Bacillota; Clostridia; Eubacteriales
Description: uncultured Clostridiales bacterium partial 16S ribosomal RNA
Rfam family: Bacterial small subunit ribosomal RNA
Source: RNAcentral